UACGUAGGGGGCAAGCGUUGUCCGGAAUUAUUGGGCGUAAAGCGUGCGCAGGCGGUUUUGUAAGUCUGUCGUGAAAGCCCCGGGCUUAACCUGGGAAUUGCGAUGGAGACUGCAAGGCUUGAAUCUGGCAAAGGGGGGUAGAAUUCCACGUGUAGCAGUGAAAUGCGUAGAGAUGUGGAGGAACACCGAUGGCGAAGGCAGCCCCCUGGGUCAAGAUUGACGCUCAUGCACGAAAGCGUGGGGAGCAAACAGG
This 253-nucleotide ribosomal RNA is filed under the name uncultured bacterium. RNAcentral describes it as "partial 16S ribosomal RNA". It matches the Rfam family "Bacterial small subunit ribosomal RNA", at positions 524 to 776 of the family's 1533-position model. The record is from RNAcentral.